GUGCUCACUUCGGCAGAACAUACACUAAAAUUGCAAUGAUACACAGAAGAUUAGCAUGGACCCUGGGCAAGGAUGACACACAAAUUCAUGAAGCAUUCUGUAUUUUU
This is a small nuclear RNA of Pipistrellus kuhlii (Kuhl's pipistrelle), 107 nucleotides long. The record is from RefSeq and is a predicted model, not a curated record. NCBI's taxonomy places the organism in Eukaryota, Metazoa, Chordata, Mammalia, Chiroptera, Vespertilionidae.